This 108-nucleotide small nuclear RNA is filed under the name Chinchilla lanigera (long-tailed chinchilla). Its description in RNAcentral is "U5 spliceosomal RNA (ENSCLAG00000020022.1)". The stretch from base 1 to 89 matches the Rfam family "U5 spliceosomal RNA". From Rfam's summary of the family: U5 RNA is a component of both types of known spliceosome. The precise function of this molecule is unknown, though it is known that the 5' loop is required for splice site selection and p220 binding, and that both the 3' stem-loop and the Sm site are important for Sm protein binding and cap methylation. The record is from RNAcentral. Lineage: Eukaryota; Metazoa; Chordata; Mammalia; Rodentia; Chinchillidae.
ACGCUCUGCUUUGUCUUCAGAAUGAAUAAAUCUUCCGCCUUUUACUAAAGAUUUUCGUGGAGAGAGGAAGCGCAGAGGCUCAUGUAAACACAAUUGCUGUGGAAAUAU